Molecule: long non-coding RNA, 172 nt
Organism: Thalassophryne amazonica
Lineage: Eukaryota; Metazoa; Chordata; Actinopteri; Batrachoidiformes; Batrachoididae
Exons: 5
Source: RefSeq, a predicted model, not a curated record
CUCAACUUCAUGUCCAGUUGCUAAUUCACACUGCAAGCACAACAUUCUUAAUUAACGCCAAUGUCUGAAAUACUCAGCACACCCCCACACCGAAUCAAGCCCAUUAUUUUUUCUUUUUUUGCCUUUCCUCUACUUGCACGAGAUGGGAAGAACACACGUCAGAACUCCACUC